This 253-nucleotide ribosomal RNA is filed under the name uncultured bacterium. Its description in RNAcentral is "partial 16S ribosomal RNA". It matches the Rfam family "Bacterial small subunit ribosomal RNA", at positions 524 to 776 of the family's 1533-position model. The record is from RNAcentral.
UACGAAGGGGGCUAGCGUUGCUCGGAAUCACUGGGCGUAAAGCGCACGUAGGCGGACUCUUAAGUCGGUGGUGAAAUCCUGGAGCUCAACUCCAGAACUGCCUUCGAUACUGAGAGUCUCGAGUCCGAGAGAGGUGAGUGGAACUGCGAGUGUAGAGGUGAAAUUCGUAGAUAUUCGCAAGAACACCAGUGGCGAAGGCGGCUCACUGGCUCGGUACUGACGCUGAGGAGCGAAAGCGUGGGGAGCGAACAGG